This 775-nucleotide long non-coding RNA is filed under the name Ananas comosus (pineapple). Its description in RNAcentral is "long non-coding RNA (ACOM_LNC005911)". Lineage: Eukaryota; Viridiplantae; Streptophyta; Magnoliopsida; Poales; Bromeliaceae. The record is from RNAcentral.
AAAUUUUUUUUUUUCUUUUAUGUAUAUGUUGUUUGCUUAAACGGACCAGCACUCUGCCUUGUGGCGGGGGCCAAAGUUGAAUCAAGUCACGUUCGAAAUGGCAGGAGGUUAGGUUGGGCCAAGUCAUCUUCGAAGUGGCGCGAGAUUGUUAGGAUCAAGUCACAAUCGAGAUCCGCAGGCGCUGUGUCUGUACGUUUUAAGUGAAUUAGUUGCAUAUUUUUAAUAGCUCGAGUUUUUGAAAUUAAUGGUUAGUGCUAACGAUCCGAUAAGUGGUAUCAGAGUCAGAAGCCACAAGUUCGAUUAAGUAGUAUUAGAGCCAGAAGUCACAAGUUUGAUUCCUGAGAGAGGAUUGUUAGUUAUCAUAUCAGAGCUAGAGGUGAUGAGUUCGAUUCCCACUGAGAAGGGAUUAUUGGCUUAAUCGUAUGAAAAAUACAACAAUAUUUGAGCAAAACUAAUAUUUUAUAAAUAAUAAAUAUGUAUUAUUAUUGGCUUAAUAUAACAAUAUUUUAGCAAAAUUAAAAUUUUAUAAAUAAUAAAUAUAUAUUAUUAUAUUAAUAAUAUUAUAUAUUUAUUAAUGGUAUUCAUGUCGUGUCUGUAUCGUAAUUUUUUUGGAACUCAUCGAAUCACCAAGAUAUUUAUAACGCCUAGAUAUUUAAUCAACUAAACUAAAUUAGAUUGUGAGACUACAAAUUCAGAGAAAUUGAGCCAAAAUUGGAGGACCAGAGCGUCACGUAAAUUAGAUUGUGAGACUACAAAUUCAGAGAAAUUGAGCCAA